GACGAACGCUGGCGGCGUGCUUAACACAUGCAAGUCGAACGGAGUUCCUCGGAUCAAGGCUUCGGCCAAGUGAAGUUGAACUUAGUGGCGGACUGGUGAGUAACGCGUGAGGAACCUGCCUUUCAGAGGGGGACAACAGUUGGAAACGACUGCUAAUACCGCAUGACGCAUAUGGAUCGCAUGGUCUGUAUGCCAAAGAUUUUAUCGCUGAAAGAUGGCCUCGCGUCUGAUUAGCUUGUUGGCGGGGUAACGGCCCACCAAGGCGACGAUCAGUAGCCGGACUGAGAGGUUGACCGGCCACAUUGGGACUGAGAUACGGCCCAG
Molecule: ribosomal RNA, 324 nt
Filed under: uncultured bacterium
Lineage: Bacteria
Description: bacterial SSU rRNA
Rfam family: Bacterial small subunit ribosomal RNA
Source: RNAcentral